This 264-nucleotide ribosomal RNA is filed under the name uncultured archaeon. RNAcentral's name for it is "partial 16S ribosomal RNA". It matches the Rfam family "Archaeal small subunit ribosomal RNA", at positions 717 to 982 of the family's 1478-position model. The record is from RNAcentral.
AGACGUCUACAUUAGAUACCCGCGUAGUCCCAGCCCUAAACGAUGCGCGUUAGGUGUAUCGGUGACCACGAGUCACCGAGGUGCCGAAGGGAAACCGUGAAACGUGCCGCCUGGGAAGUACGGUCGCAAGGCUGAAACUUAAAGGAAUUGGCGGGGAGCACCACAACGGGUGGAGCUUGCGGUUUGAUUGGAUUCAACGCCGGAACUCUUACCGGGACCGACAGCAACAUGAAGGCCAGGCUGAAGACUUUGCCGGAUUAGCUG